UACAGAGGUCCCAAGCGUUGUUCGGAUUCACUGGGCGUAAAGGGUGCGUAGGUGGUAGGAUAAGUCGGAUGUGAAAUCUCGGAGCUCAACUCCGAAAUGGCAUUGGAAACUGUUCUACUUGAGGGUCGGAGGGGGGACUGGAAUUCUCGGUGUAGCAGUGAAAUGCGUAGAUAUCGAGAGGAACACCAGUGGCGAAGGCGAGUCCCUGGACGACUCCUGACACUGAGGCACGAAAGCUAGGGGAG
Molecule: ribosomal RNA, 245 nt
Filed under: uncultured bacterium
Lineage: Bacteria
Description: partial 16S ribosomal RNA
Rfam family: Bacterial small subunit ribosomal RNA
Source: RNAcentral